RNAcentral lists this ribosomal RNA (253 nucleotides) under uncultured bacterium. RNAcentral describes it as "partial 16S ribosomal RNA". It matches the Rfam family "Bacterial small subunit ribosomal RNA", at positions 524 to 776 of the family's 1533-position model. The record is from RNAcentral.
UACGUAGGGAGCAAGCGUUGUCCGGAAUCAUUGGGCGUAAAGCGCGCGUAGGUGGCUUCGUAAGUCCGUUGUGAAAGUCAAAGGCUCAACCUUUGAAAGCCGAUGGAUACUGCGGAGCUAGAGUACGGAAGAGGCGAGUGGAAUUCCUGGUGUAGCGGUGGAAUGCGCAGAUAUCAGGAGGAACACCAAUAGCGAAGGCAGCUCGCUGGGACGUUACUGACACUGAGGCGCGAAAGCUAGGGGAGCAAACGGG